Molecule: ribosomal RNA, 442 nt
Filed under: uncultured bacterium
Lineage: Bacteria
Description: bacterial SSU rRNA
Rfam family: Bacterial small subunit ribosomal RNA
Source: RNAcentral
AACGCGAAGAACCUUACCUGGGCUAGAAAGUAUGGGAACCUGGUAGAAGUAUCGGGGUGCUCUUCGGAGAACCCAUAGUUAGGUGCUGCAUGGCUGUCGUCAGCUCGUGUCGUGAGAUGUUGGGUUAAGUCCCGCAACGAGCGCAACCCUUACCCCCAGUUGCCAUCAUUAAGUUGGGCACUCUGGUGGAACCGCCUCGGAUAACGGGGAGGAAGGUGGGGAUGACGUCAAGUCCUCAUGGCCUUUAUGUCCAGGGCUACACACGUGCUACAAUGGCCGGUACAAACCGUCGCAAAGCCGCGAGGUGGAGCUAAUCGGAAAAAGCCGGCCUCAGUUCGGAUCGCAGUCUGCAACUCGACUGCGUGAAGCUGGAAUCGCUAGUAAUCGUGGAUCAGAAUGCCACGGUGAAUACGUUCCCGGGCCUUGUACACACCGAGACGUA